GUUUAAGUAAUUUAUAUAAAAUAUCCAUUUGUGGGGUGGGAAAAGCUUUGAGUCUUAAACA
RNAcentral lists this transfer RNA (61 nucleotides) under Caligus rogercresseyi. Its description in RNAcentral is "tRNA-His". The record is from RNAcentral. Lineage: Eukaryota; Metazoa; Arthropoda; Copepoda; Siphonostomatoida; Caligidae.